RNAcentral lists this long non-coding RNA (388 nucleotides) under Mytilus galloprovincialis (Mediterranean mussel). Lineage: Eukaryota; Metazoa; Mollusca; Bivalvia; Mytilida; Mytilidae. The record is from RNAcentral.
CUACCUUAACUUCUGUUUUCAUUCUCCUUAUUCGAAUUAUGCACAGUUACACAAUAUUUUAAUGGCGGAGAAAUUGUUUUAAAAUUUGUGUCACAUCAAAUUUGAAUAAUGAUUAUAAUCCUUUAUUAUACUUCAUAAUUGACAUCAAAAGUCUGCAAAAAAGUAAAAAAUACUGUCAAAUCACUUGUGGUCAUUCAUUAUUACAGUCACAAUUAAACAAUCUCUGUAUUUCUUAGGCGAUGGAUAAAGGCAACAGUUGAAGUGAUACGAGAUACAAUGGCGGUCAUGUAGAGACGUGUAAUAUGCAGUUAAAUGUCUAUAUCUAUAUACUUAUGAAAAUUGUAUUGUUACGUUGUAUGUAUUAUUUGUUCCUGUUUUCUGUUUUUUU